UUUCUUCCCUCGAAUGUUGGGGGCCUACAUUUAGAAAUUGUGUAGUGCAAAAGGGAUAUACAUUAAAUAUAUUAAGCUCCCGGAAAAACUUGGCAAAUUGCUGGAAAGACGUUAAUGAAAACCUAAGAUCAUUUUACGUUCAAUCAGCAGGCAAUCUUUACUUAGUUAUACUAAAUAAAGUCGCUUCAACGAUCAGACGCUAAGUACCCUACACCUUGGGUAUAUCAGAUUAGGUGACACGUAUAACCAUCCUGACUUCGUAGGCCGCAUAGUACAUAAUGAUGCUGCUCAUACGGCUUCGCUGUACGGAGAGUUAUAAUUAAGAAUUUAAUUAAAUAUCUAGGAAGGGUAAUGGUAUGAUCUACAAUUAUUGGUGACAAAUAA
This is a non-coding RNA of Chaetomium globosum CBS 148.51, 384 nucleotides long. NCBI's taxonomy places the organism in Eukaryota, Fungi, Ascomycota, Sordariomycetes, Sordariales, Chaetomiaceae. The record is from Rfam.